This 2138-nucleotide long non-coding RNA is filed under the name Marmota monax (woodchuck). The record is from RNAcentral. Lineage: Eukaryota; Metazoa; Chordata; Mammalia; Rodentia; Sciuridae.
UGCUUCUUGAAUGUGUUCGGGGAUUCAUCAAUCCUUUAUCUAUCAUCUAUGUAUCAUUUACACCUAUCACCUAUCAUCAUCUAUGCAUCAUCCAUCAUUUAUGUAACACCUAUCAUCUAUGUAUCAUUCACCGUCCAUGUAUCAUCUAUCACUAAUCUGUCAUCUGACUUCUGUUAUCUACCUAAGGUUUUUGUUUCCAAUCUCAGAAAGGCAAAACAUUUUUUUAACACAAUGCCUUUAUUUUUAUGUGGUGCUGAGGAUGGAACCCGGGUCCCGCCCGUGCUAGGCGAGGGCUCUACCACUGAGCCACAAUCCCAGCCCAAGGCAAAGCAUUUUUAAGACGAGUUAAUCUAUCAGCGGGGCAUGGUGGCACACACCUGUAAUUCCAGCACCUUGGGAGGCUGAGGCAGGAGGAUUGCAAGUUCAAAGCCAGCCUCAGCAAAAGCAAAGUGCUAUGCAACUCAGUGAGAUCUUGUUGCUAAAUAAAAUACAAAAUUGGGCUGGAAAUGUGGCUCAAUGUUCAAGUGUCCUGAGUUCAAUCCCCAGUAAAAAAUAAAGUAAAAAAAAAAAUACUAGUUAAUCUUAGAUUUCCUGAGAAAAAUACUUUCUGAGAAUCUGAUACUUCCCCAAAGAGAAAAGAGAAAAGCUACUUACCACAUGUGGAUUUCCUCUCAAGACAGGGAUGCGGAGGCAGCAUGUGUCAAGUGUGUGGGUGAGACACAUGAACCUCAGAUAAAGGCCUGGGACUGCAAGACCUCUCCUCCUUGCUGGGAGUUAUUAUCAUGUCACCUGGGAGUGCAGUGAGAGCAUCUUCUAGGGGACUGCAGAAGAUCUCUGAGGAGCACUUGGGAUUGUGGAGAACACUGACAGCUAUUAAAACAAUUUAAAAAUAUAUCCAACAGGAAUUUCAGAGACAAUUAAGGAAAGUGUGCUUUUUUUUUUCUUUUUUGGUACCAAGGAUUAAACCCAGGAGUACUUAUCCACUGAGAAACAUCCCCCAGACCUUUUAAAAUAUAUUUUAUUAGAGACAGGGUCUCACUGAUUUGCUUAGGGCUGGCUUUGAACUCUUGAUCCUCCUGCUUCAGUUUCCUGAGUCGCUGGGAUUACAGGAGAAAUCCAUGCCCAGCAAUAAAAGUGAACUUUUGAAAUCAACAAAAUCCACAUGAAAGAUGAGAAGAGAAACCCGAAAUCUAACAAGUGAGAUGGAUGCCAAUCAAAUGUUUAUCCCAGAUUCUUAGCUGAUCUAGAGGCUAUGUUUCCAAAGCAAUUCUUCCUCAAAAGCAGGAAAAAAUGUGAUUAUAAUUAGAACAUUUCUCCUGAGCUCUCAUGUUAUCAUAUUUGUUCAGUAUUUUGACUAAUAUUUAUUGGGUAGUUUAUGGGUUUCCGGUAUGUUUCUAGGCACAUGGAUUAUAUUGGUGAACAAAAUAUAAGUUUGCCCUUCUGGAAGUCACUGUAUACUUAUGAAAAAGGCAAUAAACAUUGCAUUGUUGAAAUAAAUACCAUUGUAGACUAGAAAGCAAUCUGUCCUAAGGCAAUAAGAGGAAGUACAAGGGCUUCAGGUAGGCUGAAGUUGAAAAUUGACUGUUCAUGUUUGGACUCAAAAUAAAAAUAGUUUUAAGGAAAUAUUUUAUUUGGUGUAGGAGGACAUACCUACUUCUUCUUUUCCAAAUAUUGUAUGCUUAUUUUCUUUCCUUAAUGUCUGAAGUCUGAUAUCCAGUUUAACACUGAGUACAAGUUCCAUGCAUGGCCACUGUACUUUUGUUUUAAUCUUAUGGGAAUAUGUUAACAAUGGACCAUGGGUUAUGAAACCUGCCAAAACACCUUUGUAGAUGUUAUUUAUAAAACUACAGAAUAGACCUUCUCUUGUAUCCUUAGAUGCAUAUAGUUUUGUGCAUAUAUUUUUUGUCUUCCUAAGUUUUAUUCUUAAUUUCAUAUACAACAUGAUGAUAUAUCUUCUUUUUUCUUAUUUUCAUAACAGAACAACUUUUCUUUGUCUAUUAUGUAUGCAUAACCUAUCUUAUUUUUGAUAAUAUAUAUUAUAUUUUGAAAACCAUUAUGGUAAGAUGGGAACAUUGUACCCUUUGGCAAUGAAUAAUUUGUUGUGCUUUUUAAAAAUAAAUGGGUAUUAUUCUCCAUGA